CAGUGCGUGUGCGUGCGCGCGCGCCCGGCCGGAAGUGCGCUCGCGUGGAGUUGUGGGCGCGUGGCGGGUUUGCAGGUUGGAAUCUUGGGCAUGGAACCACCACCUGGUGAGCUGAGGCGGGACAGUCAGAGCCCUGUGGAUUCUCAGUGGUGCCACAUCGGAGGUAGAGCCUCAGUACUGGGUGUGGGAUCUGGGCCGAAGAAAGGAGCCCUUGUUUCUCAGCCACACUCACAGGAGGUUAGCCUCAGCGUUAGGUUGAUGGGACAAGAUGAAACUGGAGAUGUCCUGCCCCAGUAAUUUAUCCUUGUGCCCAGAAUGUCAGUGUGAUGGCCGGAACUCCAACAGCCAUCUUAUACCAUGAAGACAAAAGUCUUGGGAUGGAGGAGUGAAAAGCUUGAAGAGCCUGUGUUCCUGAUGAUACCUUAGAGUCUCUAGAGUGCAUUUGUGUAUAGAUGUACACGUUCGAUGAUGAAACCUUACCCCAUGCAAGGCUUAUGAUUCAUUUUUUUAAAGAGUUUAUUUUUUUAUUAAAAUUUUUUAAUGUGUAUUUUUGAGAGAGAGACAGAGCACGAGCGGGG
Molecule: long non-coding RNA, 578 nt
Organism: Herpailurus yagouaroundi (jaguarundi)
Lineage: Eukaryota; Metazoa; Chordata; Mammalia; Carnivora; Felidae
Exons: 3
Source: RefSeq, a predicted model, not a curated record